This 1709-nucleotide long non-coding RNA is filed under the name Homo sapiens (human). RNAcentral's name for it is "HSALNT0125473". The record is from RNAcentral. Lineage: Eukaryota; Metazoa; Chordata; Mammalia; Primates; Hominidae.
CAGGAGAGAGUUCAAUGCAAAGAACUCCAUUCUUCCCUUCUCCCAGGGUGAGGAUAACACCAUAAAUGUGCUUUCCAGAGGCACAUUUUUAGCACUGUCUCUGGAUAAGUUUAAUUAGAGAGAAGAGACUAUCAUGAAAAACUUUUAUUCAGUGACCUAGAACCAAAGAAAAUGAGAAUGACCAGAAAAGGGACAGUUGGUAUUCAGUUAUUUGAUUCUUGUUCUUGUUGGCUUUUUGGAUCCUCUCCUCUGUCGACUUUUCCAUGGAUGCACUUUUACAUGCUGCAGAACUGAGUUUCCACCUAUUUUCUGUAACCAUCUUAUGUAAACGCAGUUUCAGCCAGAAGCAAAGAAAAAGUCAUAAGAUCAGCAAGAAGAGAAACUGUAGAUUUGCCUCAACUCAACAUGUUAAGUAAUCGCCUGACAUCUACAUAAGACCACCUCUUGGCACCUGGCUACACAAGCUGAAAUGGUUGUCUUUGGAAAAAGAAUAGACAUUCAUGGCAGACCAAAGAUCACUCUCUGAAGGUGUUAUGUGAGAAAUCCACACAGGAGAAACCCAAGAAAACCACGCAGGUAAAUGCUAGCCUGGAAAGACAGAGGGAAAACAUGCCAAGUGGAGCCCACCACAAGGACAGCAGUCAGAGCCCAAGAGCCCAGCUUUAAAAGGUGAAUGGUUAAACAAAUUGUGGUACAUUCCUACAAUGAAAUACUACUCAGCAAUAAGAAGGAAUAGACUGUUGAUACGUUCAACAAGUUGGGUGAAUCUCAAAGACACUAUGCUGAGUAAAAGAAGCCAUCUCAAAAGGGCUGCAUACCAAAAGGAACAAAAGCACAAAACAAACAAACAAACAAACAAACAAGCAAAUGAUGGUGGAAACUAUUUUCAAAACUUCCCUGUUCUGGUAAAGACGUUUUCAGAGCUCAAACUAGUCCUGCUGAAAAUAUUUUUUAAAAUAUGAAAGCAUAGCGGAAAAUUUGUAUGAAAAAGAAAAAAGAAAAAGAAGGAGGAGGAAGAAGAAGAAGAAAGAAGAAAAAGGAGAGGAAGAAGAAGAAGGAGGAGGAGGAGAAGAAGAGGAGGAGGAGGAGGAGGAAAUGGCAGAGACAAUGUAUGUCCCAGAAAGCCUAAAAUGUGUACUGUUUGUCCGUUUAUAGAAAAAGUGUGCCAGUCCCUACUCUGUUCCCAAUUUUAAAAACAAAUAAAUAAAAAGAAAAACAAGCAAGUCUCUCAGCCAAGAAAGAAUCGAUGGGAACUUUUUCAACUUUAUAAAGUGGAUCUACAAAAAACUACAACUAACACUAACGUCACACCUAAUGGUGAAAGUCUGAAUGUUUUCCCUCUAAGACUAGGAAAAGGUGGCAUGGAUGUCCACUCUCCCUACUCUAUUCAGCAUUGUAUCAAAAGUUCUUAUCAGUGAAAUAAGACAAGAAAACAAUAAAUGGCAUCCAUAUUGGAAAAGAAGUAACACUGUCUUUAUUUGCAGAUGACAUUAUAAUCUAAAUAGAAAAUCUUAUGGAAUCUGCUAAAAAGCUAAUAGAACCAAUAAGCGAGUUUAGCAUAGUUACAAGACACAACAUAUAAAAAUUAAUUAUAUUUCAAAAUACUAGCAAUGAACAAUUAAAUUUUCCUUUUAAAAUUUUCAACAACAUCAAGACAUGAACCACUGGGGGAUAAACCCCAUGAAACAUGGCAGAAAAAAAUUCAGGAA